RNAcentral lists this ribosomal RNA (465 nucleotides) under uncultured Klebsiella sp. Its description in RNAcentral is "bacterial SSU rRNA". It matches the Rfam family "Bacterial small subunit ribosomal RNA", at positions 338 to 795 of the family's 1533-position model. The record is from RNAcentral. Lineage: Bacteria; Pseudomonadati; Pseudomonadota; Gammaproteobacteria; Enterobacterales; Enterobacteriaceae.
CCUACGGGAGGCUGCAGUGGGGAAUAUUGCACAAUGGGCGCAAGCCUGAUGCAGCCAUGCCGCGUGUGUGAAGAAGGCCUUCGGGUUGUAAAGCACUUUCAGCGGGGAGGAAGGCGGUGAGGUUAAUAACCUCAUCGAUUGACGUUACCCGCAGAAGAAGCACCGGCUAACUCCGUGCCAGCAGCCGCGGUAAUACGGAGGGUACAAGCGUUAAUCGGAAUUACUGGGCGUAAAGCGCACGCAGGCGGUCUGUCAAGUCGGAUGUGAAAUCCCCGGGCUCAACCUGGGAACUGCAUUCGAAACUGGCAGGCUAGAGUCUUGUAGAGGGGGGUAGAAUUCCAGGUGUAGCGGUGAAAUGCGUAGAGAUCUGGAGGAAUACCGGUGGCGAAGGCGGCCCCCUGGACAAAGACUGACGCUCAGGUGCGAAAGCGUGGGGAGCAAACAGGAUUAGAUACCCUGGUAGUC